CUAGAGAGUCUCUGGAGGACGCGCCUUCCGCGGUCUCCACCUCCCAGCAGUGGCGGCCUGAUGCGAAACCCUGCGCACCCAGAACGGCCGGGAGCUGAUCGAAGCGCGCGGGACUGUCCACCGGUGCAGGCGUUCCGGGUGGAGCCAGACUCACGCCGCGGUAGUCAGAGGAGAUGAGCAGAUCACGGUGUGCAGUGCGAGGGUCGAGCGUCAGAAACAGGUGAGACUACACUCCAGAAAGCCUGUUGCUAAGUGGAGGUAAAGACAGGGGUCUGGAGAGAAGAUCAUGGCUAUGGCUGUAGGUAGUGGAAAGGAAGAAACAAACAAAAAUGGAACUCACCGUCUCCAUGUCUUCCUCAUAUCCUGGUAUGGGCAGAAGAAAACAUAGGUGUGAGUUCAUACUGUGGGACAUCCUCCCCUCCACCUCAGCUCUUAACAGAGUUCUUUCUGGAUGUGGGCCUGGAGUACCAGAAAAACACCUCUGAGUUCCUUCAGUCCAAGUGCCUUGCCAUGGCCCUUAAGAUCUUCUCUGACAGUGCUUCACAGCCUUGUUUGGACAUUGAAACCACCAGAGAAACCUACGUUUCUGAUUCCUUGGCUGACACCUCCAACCAGUGAAGCAGAACCUCUGGACAUGAGUGACAGACAUCAGCAGCUUUCAAGCUCUUGCAUGAUGUCUUGCAUCAGGAGUCUGCAGUAGACCCGCCUCUCCUGUUUUGUUUCUUCUGCUCUGACUGCAGUGCCUUUUAGUUUCCUGUUCCUUGAACAUUCCAAGGCUGAUCUAGAUGUACAGUCUCCACACUUAUUGUUCCUUCACUUUAGAGAAAGCUUCGAAUAUCUCUCUCUGUCAUCUCAUUCAGGUCUCAUCGAAAAGGUAACAUAGUCAGAGAGGACUCUUGUUUUCCAGUGUUAGGGAUGGAUGCCAUGGUCUCACACCUGCUGGAUGACAAGCCCCACAGGAGCAGGAAUGUAACCUUCAUGUUCACAACUGUCCGACACACACCUGGCCCAGUGCCCAGCACAGUGUCUCAAUGUCUCUACUCAGUUGUUGGAUUACUCAUUGUUGAUUGGGCAAAGUGAGAAGAUCCUCCUUUGAAUGACUACUUAUCCCAUCUAAGUGCCAGACAAAAACACUCUUAUCAAUUAGUAGUCCUUCCUCAUUGUCAGGUGCCAGGGAUGGUGAAUGCUUGGGUGCUAGAAGAACUGGAGCUCUUUCUGCUGCAGAAGUGCACAACUGCAAGCUGUUGCUUCCUGUCUGUAUCCAGGUGGUGAGGACUUCCUCAACCUGAACAGCCUGCUUUCCAAAUGUUCACACCCGAUGGAUCUAGGACAUGGGUAAAGGAAAAGGCAUUUGGGCCUGGACUCUGCCAGGAACAUUUUACUUCUCAAGACUUUCUCCCUCCCUCUCUAGAUGCCCUAAUGAGCUUACCUUAUUAACGAUCCUCUGAUCUUCCCCAGAGUUCAUUCUAUGACCAUAAACGGAAAGUGGAGUUGAGAGAGAGAGAGAGAGAGAGAGAGAGAGAGAGAGAGAGAGAGAGAGAGAGAGAGAUAUGACUUGGCUUACUCCAAUUGACUGUAACAGAAUCUCGCCCCUCCUUAAAGCAGGUGCCUCCUACACAACUGUUCCCACCCCUUUCGGGAUGCCUACUUAUGGUGCUGUAUUACAGCACAGUACCUCUCUCUGCUUGUUACUAAGGAGUGUUAGAAGUCAGACAGGCUCCUUCCCUUUCUUUCUCCC
Molecule: long non-coding RNA, 1738 nt
Organism: Mus pahari (shrew mouse)
Lineage: Eukaryota; Metazoa; Chordata; Mammalia; Rodentia; Muridae
Exons: 4
Source: RefSeq, a predicted model, not a curated record